RNAcentral lists this ribosomal RNA (695 nucleotides) under uncultured bacterium. RNAcentral describes it as "bacterial SSU rRNA". It matches the Rfam family "Bacterial small subunit ribosomal RNA", at positions 1 to 666 of the family's 1533-position model. The record is from RNAcentral.
AGGGGUUUGAUCAUGGCUCAGAACGAACGCUGGCGGCGUGGAUAAGACAUGCAAGUCGGACGAGGAAUUACAUGAAGCUUGCUUUGAGUAAUUCCUAGUGGCGAACGGGUGAGUAACACGUGAGCAACCUACCCAGAAGCAGGGGAUAGCCCACCGAAAGGUGGAUUAAUACCGUAUGCGAUCCCGCGGAGCAUUCCGUGGUGAUUAAAGGCGGGGAUCCUUCGGGACCUGCCACUCCUGGAUGGGCUCGCGGCCUAUCAGCUAGUUGGUGAGGUAAAAGCUCACCAAGGCGACGACGGGUAGCUGGUCUGAGAGGAUGAUCAGUCACACUGGAACUGAGACACGGUCCAGACACCUACGGGUGGCAGCAGUCGAGAAUCAUUCACAAUGGGCGAAAGCCUGAUGGUGCGACGCCGCGUGGAGGAUGACAGCUCUAGGGUUGUAAACUCCUGUCAUGAGAGAGUAAAGGCUUGCCGUUAAUAGCGGUCGGGUCCUGAUAGUAUCUCAAGAGGAAGGGACGGCUAACUUCGUGCCAGCAGCCGCGGUAAUACGAAGGUCCCAAGCGUUGUUCGGAAUCACUGGGGCGUAAAGCGUGCGUAGGCGGCUUGGUAAGUCAGAUGUGAAAGCCCAGGGCUCAACCUUUGGAACUGCAUCCCGAUACUGCCCAGGCUAGAGUAGUGGAGGGGAGUCUGGGA